RNAcentral lists this ribosomal RNA (759 nucleotides) under uncultured Prevotella sp. RNAcentral's name for it is "bacterial SSU rRNA". It matches the Rfam family "Bacterial small subunit ribosomal RNA", at positions 26 to 776 of the family's 1533-position model. Lineage: Bacteria; Pseudomonadati; Bacteroidota; Bacteroidia; Bacteroidales; Prevotellaceae. The record is from RNAcentral.
GGAUGACGCCGGCUACCGGCUUACCACUCCAAGUCGAGGGGAAACGACGGGGAAGCUUGCUUCCCCGGGCGUCGACCGGCGCACGGGUGAGUAACGCGUAUCCAACCUGCCUCAGACUGAGGGAUAACCCGUCGAAAGUCGGCAUAAUACCUCAUGGCAUCGUCUGCGGGCAUCCAACGAAGAUUAAAGAUAUCAUCGGUCAAGGAUGGGGAUGCGUCUGAUUAGCUUGUUGGCGGGGUAACGGCCCACCAAGGCUACGAUCAGUAGGGGUUCUGAGAGGAAGGUCCCCCACAUUGGAACUGAGACACGGUCCAAACUCCUACGGGAGGCAGCAGUGAGGAAUAUUGGUCAAUGGGCGAGAGCCUGAACCAGCCAAGUAGCGUGCAGGAUGACGGCCCUAUGGGUUGUAAACUGCUUUUAUGCGGGGAUAAAGUGAGGGACGUGCCCUUCAUUGCAGGUACCGCAUGAAUAAGGACCGGCUAAUUCCGUGCCAACAGCCGCGGUAAUACGGAAGGUCCGGGCGUUAUCCGGAUUUAUUGGGUUUAAAGGGAGCGUAGGCCGUGGAUUAAGCGUGUUGUGAAAUGCAGGUGCUCAACGUCUGCACUGCAGCGCGAACUGGUCCACUUGAGUGUGCGCAACGCAGGCGGAAUUCGUCGUGUAGCGGUGAAAUGCUUAGAUAUGACGAAGAACUCCGAUUGCGAAGGCAGCUUGCGGGAGCACAACUGACGCUGAAGCUCGAAAGUGCGGGUAUCGAGCAGG